CAGCAGCCACGGGAAUACGAAGGGUGCAAGCGUUACUCUGAAUUACUGGGCGUAAAGCGUGCGUAGGUGGUGGUUUAAGUCCGUUGUGAAAGCCCUGGGCUCAACCUGGGAAUUGCAGUGGAUACUGGGUCACUAGAGUGUGGUAGAGGAUAGUGGAAUUUCCGGUGUAGCAGUGAAAUGCGUAGAGAUCGGAAGGAACAUCUGUGGCGAAGGCGACUAUCUGGGCCAACACUGACACUGAGGCACGAAAGCGUGGGGAGCAAACAGGAUUAGAUACCCCUGUAGUCCCUGUCUCUUAUAC
This 301-nucleotide ribosomal RNA is filed under the name uncultured bacterium. RNAcentral's name for it is "partial 16S ribosomal RNA". It matches the Rfam family "Bacterial small subunit ribosomal RNA", at positions 509 to 807 of the family's 1533-position model. The record is from RNAcentral.